This 233-nucleotide long non-coding RNA is filed under the name Carica papaya (papaya). RNAcentral describes it as "long non-coding RNA (CPAP_LNC007827)". Lineage: Eukaryota; Viridiplantae; Streptophyta; Magnoliopsida; Brassicales; Caricaceae. The record is from RNAcentral.
UUGAAUGAGAGGAGUGCGGCUUGGCAGCAUGUAGAAGACGAAUCAGCGCCAUGAGAGGUCAAGAUCUUAACAGACAACCGGAGAAUAUGCAUGGCCUUACGUAAUCUGCAAACUAUCGAUGUGCGAAGGCUGCAUAAGGAGUCAAAUUGGUGCGUAAAUUGUUUUUCGACGAGAUCUGUGUAGGUGCACGACCAAAAAGUCGAAGAAAGGAGACACGAGUGGCUGGAGAAGAC